RNAcentral lists this ribosomal RNA (398 nucleotides) under uncultured bacterium. RNAcentral's name for it is "bacterial SSU rRNA". It matches the Rfam family "Bacterial small subunit ribosomal RNA", at positions 358 to 773 of the family's 1533-position model. The record is from RNAcentral.
GGAAUCUUGGACAAUGGGGGCAACCCUGAUCCAGCCAUGCCGCGUGAGCGAUGAAGGCCCUAGGGUUGUAAAGCUCUUUCACCCGUGAAGACAAUGACGGUAGCGGGCGAAGAAGCCCCGGCUAACUCCGUGCCAGCAGCCGCGGUAAUACGGAGGGGGCUAGCGUUGUUCGGAAUUACGGGGCGUAAAGCGCGCGUAGGCGGGUAUUCAAGUCGGGGGUGAAAUCCCGGGGCUCAACCCCGGAACUGCCUCCGAUACUGGAUGCCUGGUGGACGGAAGAGGCGAGUGGAAUGCCGAGUGUAGAGGUGAAAUUCGUAGAUAUUCGGCGGAACACCCGUGGCGAAGGCGGCUCGCUGGUCCGGUCCUGACGCUGAGGCGCGAAAGCGUGGGGAGCAAAC